Bufo gargarizans (Asiatic toad) is the source of this 285-nucleotide long non-coding RNA. RefSeq lists it as uncharacterized. The record is from RefSeq and is a predicted model, not a curated record. NCBI's taxonomy places the organism in Eukaryota, Metazoa, Chordata, Amphibia, Anura, Bufonidae. The transcript has 3 exons.
CUAGUUAUUAUCAUAUUAACCAUUGUUCUACUGCUCGUCCUUGGUGGCACAGGUGAAUGUCCUGCCCCUGUGACCACCCCCUCUGACCCCUGUGACGACGGCUGGAUCGGGUACAAGAAAAGAUGUUAUUAUUUCUCUGCCAAUAUUACCGAGUGGGAGAAGAGCCAGGAGUUCUGUGUCUCCAGGAAUGCUACUCUUGCCAUUAUAGACUUAAGACAUGAGCUGGAUUUCAUAAUCCGAUACAAAGGGCCUUCUGACCAUUGGAUUGGUCUAAAAAGGGAAAGU